Molecule: ribosomal RNA, 253 nt
Filed under: uncultured bacterium
Lineage: Bacteria
Description: partial 16S ribosomal RNA
Rfam family: Bacterial small subunit ribosomal RNA
Source: RNAcentral
UACGAAGGGGGCUAGCGUUGCUCGGAAUUACUGGGCGUAAAGCGCACGUAGGCGGAUUGUUAAGUCGGGGGUGAAAUCCCGGAGCUCAACUCCGGAACUGCCUUCGAUACUGACGAUCUUGAGUCCGGGAGAGGUGAGUGGAACUGCGAGUGUAGAGGUGAAAUUCGUAGAUAUUCGCAAGAACACCAGUGGCGAAGGCGGCUCACUGGCCCGGUACUGACGCUGAGGCACGAAAGCGUGGGGAGCAAACAGG